This is a long non-coding RNA of Populus euphratica (Euphrates poplar), 398 nucleotides long. RefSeq lists it as uncharacterized. The record is from RefSeq and is a predicted model, not a curated record. The transcript is spliced from 2 exons. NCBI's taxonomy places the organism in Eukaryota, Viridiplantae, Streptophyta, Magnoliopsida, Malpighiales, Salicaceae.
UACAUUGGUUUUCCUUUUUACAAUUGAAAUCACUCGUUAAUACACAUGGACUGGACUGUUGGAUAUGUGAUACUGAGUAGAAGAGAUGUUGCCUCCUUGACAUGCUGUGUAAUUGCAUCUUUAGUCAUGCCAUGAAUCUCCUGAUUUGAAGCAUGGUCCUAAGCUUUUUCAACUAAGCUGCUGUGAACAAAAUCAAACAAAAUCAUCCUCGUUUUCUUGUAAUCAAGUCAACUAUCCUGUCUCCUCUCAAAAUUACCGCCACCUCAUCCAUGAGGGACUUGUCCAGCUAGGGGAUAUGCUGACAGAAAGGAAUGAGUUAGCGGUCCAAUUGGCCGCUCAUUCCAGGCCUGAUUAGCUUUUUAGUUUUUACAGAAAAAAAAGAUUGAUUAUUUUUCCCA